UAGAGUUUGAUCAUGGCUCAGAAUGAACGCUGGCGGUGUGCUUAACACAUGCAAGUCGAGCGUGAAAGGGACUUCGGUCCUGAGUAAAGCGGCAGACGGGUGAGUAACACGUGGGAAUUUACCAUUCAGUGAAGUAUACCUCCGAGAAAUCGGAGUUAAUUCUGCAUACGUCCUAAGGGAGAAAGGUGGCCUCUUGCCGCCGCUGAAUGAUAAGCCCGCGGCCUAUUAGCUAGUUGGUAGGGUAAAGGCCUACCAAGGCGAUGAUGGGUAGCCGGCCUGAGAGGGUGAUCGGCCACAUUGGAACUGAGACACGGUCCAGACUCCUACGGGAGGCAGCAGUGAGGAAUAUUGCGCAAUGGGCGAAAGCCUGACGCAGCGACACCGCGUGGAGGAUGAAGGUCUUAGGAUUGUAAACUUCUGUUAAGUGGGAAGAAAGAUCUAUAAGUAAUAUGUAUAGAAGAUGGCGGUACCACUAGAGAAAGCACUGGCUAAUCUCGUGCCAGCAGCCGCGGUAAUACGAGAGGUGCAAGCGUUAUUCGGAUUUAUUGGGCGUAAAGGGUGCGUAGGCGGUGCAUUAAGUCUGUCGUCAAAUUUCCCGGCCUAACUGGGAAUCGGCGGUGGAAACUGGUGUGCUAGAGGAUGGAAGAGAGAAGUGGAAUUCUCGGAGUAGCGGUAAAAUGCGUAGAUCUCGAGAGGAACACCGAUGGCGAAGGCAGCUUCUUGGUCCAUAUCUGACGCUAAAGCACGAAAGCGUGGGGAGCAAACAGGAUUAGAUACCCUGGUAGUCCACGCUGUAAACGAUGAUCACUGGAUGUUGGAACUGCUUGCAGAUUCAGUAUCGAAGCUAACGCGUUAAGUGAUCCGCCUGGGGAGUACGGUCGCAAGAUUAAAACUCAAAGGAAUUGACGGGGGUCCGCACAGCGG
This 924-nucleotide ribosomal RNA is filed under the name uncultured delta proteobacterium. RNAcentral's name for it is "bacterial SSU rRNA". It matches the Rfam family "Bacterial small subunit ribosomal RNA", at positions 1 to 932 of the family's 1533-position model. The record is from RNAcentral. Lineage: Bacteria; Deltaproteobacteria.